Molecule: long non-coding RNA, 221 nt
Filed under: Pan troglodytes (chimpanzee)
Lineage: Eukaryota; Metazoa; Chordata; Mammalia; Primates; Hominidae
Description: long non-coding RNA NONPTRT011622
Source: RNAcentral
CACUUCCAUUGUGCAAUAUAGUUUAGGUUGGAAAAGCUAAAAAAUGAACUAUACUUCCCAAGCCUAUUAAAAAACAUGGAGAAUACCAUAUGAGAAUCAUGGGUUGUUGGCCUAGACAACAUUUUCAAAGGUUUGCAAAAGACUGAGCUAGCAAGGAAGAUAGGUACGUUCAUCAGGGAUUUAAUCUGUAGUUCCCAACAGGAACACAAACAGUUCUUACA